Molecule: ribosomal RNA, 411 nt
Filed under: Pseudomonas sp. D3
Lineage: Bacteria; Pseudomonadati; Pseudomonadota; Gammaproteobacteria; Pseudomonadales; Pseudomonadaceae
Description: bacterial SSU rRNA
Rfam family: Bacterial small subunit ribosomal RNA
Source: RNAcentral
ACAUGCAAGUCGAGCGGAUGAGGGUAGCUUGCUAUCUGAUUCAGCGGCGGACGGGUGAGUAAUGCCUAGGAAUCUGCCUGGUAGUGGGGGACAACGUUUCGAAAGGAACGCUAAUACCGCAUACGUCCUACGGGAGAAAGUGGGGGAUCUUCGGACCUCACGCUAUCAGAUGAGCCUAGGUCGGAUUAGCUAGUAGGUGGGGUAAUGGCUCACCUAGGCGACGAUCCGUAACUGGUCUGAGAGGAUGAUCAGUCACACUGGAACUGAGACACGGUCCAGACUCCUACGGGAGGCAGCAGUGGGGAAUAUUGGACAAUGGGCGAAAGCCUGAUCCAGCCAUGCCGCGUGUGUGAAGAAGGUCUUCGGAUUGUAAAGCACUUUAAGUUGGGAGGAAGGGUUGUAACCUAAUAC